CUCCGCGUGGGUCAAAGGGCCAGCGCAUGCCUUUUAUGGGUUGUCGCCAGCCAUAGUUACAGUCGUGAAUCAUGGACCAAGACUGCACUCUUAGGCCCACUCCUUUUUGGUGGAUCGGGUCUUGCCAUCUUCACCUUUCGUGGCUUCCUGUCGUAAUUAAAUAAAUUGUCAUAUUUUUUUCUGA
Molecule: long non-coding RNA, 184 nt
Filed under: Ixodes scapularis (black-legged tick)
Lineage: Eukaryota; Metazoa; Arthropoda; Arachnida; Ixodida; Ixodidae
Description: uncharacterized LOC120843514, transcript variant X1
Source: RNAcentral